UGAUGGGAAAACGUCUAAGUUGCAUUAAUAUUAGUGUGACGUAAACGGUAAUCGUGCAGGAGAGUAAGAUGCCAUCCUAUCAGUUAGUAAGUAGGGUAAGGGCCUACUUAGACGAAGACGGGUACGGGGAAUGAGGGUUUGAUUCCGGAGAGGGAGCCUGAGAGAUGGCUACCAGGACCAAGGUCAGCAGCAGGCGCGAAAAUUAUCGAAGCCCGCCUAGGGGCGAUAGUGAGGAGACGUGUAUAACGAAGUACGUGUAAAGAACGUACUAAUAACUGGAGGUCAAGUCUGGUGCCAGCAUCCGCGGUAAUUCCAGCUCCAGGGGUGUCUAUGAUGAUUGCUGCGAUUAAAAAGUCCGUAGUCAAGCUGACUGACUGACCUGCAAUGUGAUUGAUCAAAGAACGAGCAGGGYUAGGAAAGCAGAGAAUUAGGAGCGACCGAGGGCUAGAGUAUUGAAUGGCGAGAGGUGAAAUUUGAUGACCCAUUCAGGAGUGACAAAGGCGAAGGCACUAGUCAAGGGCGAAUCCGAUGAUCAAGGACGUAGGCUAGAGUUUCGAAAACGAUUAGAGACCGGAGUAGUUCUAGCAGUAAACUAUGCCGACGCCGUGGUAUGGUUUUUUGUGGCUGUAUUGCGGAAGAGAAAUCAAGUAAGGCUUUGGGGAGAGUACGCGCGCAAGCGAUAAAUUUAAAGGAAAUUGACGGAGGAACACCACAAGGAGUGGAGUGUGCGGCUUAAUUUGACUCAACGCGGGACAGCUUACCAGGCCCGAUAAUCGAGCGAGCGUUGUACGCGAUAGAUUAAAGAGUGGUGCAUGGCUGCUAUCGACAGUUGGGGUGACCUUAGGGUUAAUUCCGGCAAGUAGUGAGACCCCUGCAGAUAGUGGACAGGUAUUUUUAAAAUACAGGAAGGAAGGGACAAGAGCAGGUCAGUGAUGCCCUUAGAUGGCCUGGGCUGCACGCGCACUACAGUGGUCAUUAUAAGUAGAAGUUAGAAGUAAAGAUGAUCGAGAGGGACUGAGCUUUGUAAGAGGCUCACGAACGAGGAAUUGCUAGUAAUCUUAGGCUCAUUAAGAUACGAUGAAUAUGUCCCUGUAUGGUGUGCACCCGCCCGUCGUUAUCGAAGAUGGAAUUGUGUGCGAACGAGCAACAAGCGAGUAGCGCAAGUCU
Molecule: ribosomal RNA, 1167 nt
Filed under: Dictyocoela sp.
Lineage: Eukaryota; Fungi; Microsporidia
Description: SSU rRNA
Rfam family: Microsporidia small subunit ribosomal RNA
Source: RNAcentral